CAGUGGGGAAUUUUGCGCAAUGGGGGAAACCCUGACGCAGCAACGCCGCGUGGAGGAUGAAAUCCCUUGGGAUGUAAACUCCUUUCGAUAGGGAAGAUAAUGACGGUACCUAUAGAAGAAGCCCCGGCUAACUUCGUGCCAGCAGCCGCGGUAAUACGAGGGGGGCAAGCGUUGUUCGGAAUUAUUGGGCGUAAAGGGUGCGUAGGCGGUCUGACAAGUCUGAUGUGAAAUCUAUGGGCUCAACCCAUAGUCUGCAUCGGAAACUGUCGGGCUUGAGUAUGGGAGAGGUGAGUGGAAUUUCCGGUGUAGCGGUGAAAUGCGUAGAUAUCGGAAGGAACACCUGUGGCGAAAGCGGCUCACUGGACCAUUACUGACGCUGAGGUGCGAAAGCGUGGGGAGCAAACAGGAUUAGA
Molecule: ribosomal RNA, 413 nt
Filed under: uncultured bacterium
Lineage: Bacteria
Description: bacterial SSU rRNA
Rfam family: Bacterial small subunit ribosomal RNA
Source: RNAcentral